CAACCCUCAAGCACAGCUUGGUCUUGGGCUUCGCCGCUAACCCGGCGGGUCUUAAAAUCAGUGGCGGUGCCGUUGGGCCCUGAGCGCAGUAAUUUCUCUCGCUAUAGGGACCCGGCGGAUGCUGGCCAGCAACCCCCAAUUUUCUAUGG
RNAcentral lists this unclassified non-coding RNA (149 nucleotides) under uncultured Dermateaceae. RNAcentral's name for it is "sequence contains ITS2". Lineage: Eukaryota; Fungi; Ascomycota; Leotiomycetes; Helotiales; Dermateaceae. The record is from RNAcentral.